Long non-coding RNA from Nannospalax galili (Upper Galilee mountains blind mole rat), 1418 nucleotides. RefSeq lists it as uncharacterized. NCBI's taxonomy places the organism in Eukaryota, Metazoa, Chordata, Mammalia, Rodentia, Spalacidae. The transcript is spliced from 2 exons. The record is from RefSeq and is a predicted model, not a curated record.
UCAUGGUGAUAUGAGUCCAUGCAUCUUCAGUGUAGCCUUUAAAAACAAGUUUCAUUUUGUUGUGCAAAAUAGUAAACAUCAGCUUAUGAAAGUCAUUCACCAUUCUGGUUGUUUAUCAUGGAGCCUUGAUGCACUCCAUUAAGCAUGGCUGUCUGACUCCAAUCAGGAGAUGGAAACCAAGCAGAAAAUAUUUAAUGUGAAGAAUUAACUAUGAUGAAAGAGUGACCAUAGAUAUAAGAAAGCCUGAAGCAAAGAGGAAAGCACCAGGACAGGUGUGUUGUGUAAGGGUUAGAUCUGUUGAAGAACAUAUGGCUCAGUCAGCAGUGUAUUUGCUAAUACUGCAGCUGAUCCAGAGUGGUAGGGAAAACAAUAAGCCCCAUAGGAAGGGUGGGCAGGCAGCAUUCAGGAAAAACUCAGGGGUUCAGGCAGCUGUGGAGGAUGUGGUAGGUGUGCCAACUCCUCUGGCCAGGUAGAACGCAGGUGGUAUUAAGGCUUCCCUAUAGAGAGAGCAGCCAAAGUUAGGUUUGUCUAGGUCCAGGUUGAUGAUGGGCAGGGUCCCUGAAGAUCUUUAUUCCACACAGCAGAUCCCCACAUGAUGGACACCACCUGGAGGCUUCUUCUUCCUGUCCCUCCAGACUCCCCACAUCCCAGUAGAGGAUGCAAAAUUUCUACUUGAUUUAGAAGAGUUGUACUUAGAUAAAUUCUGUUGUUCCUCAAACAGCAGAUAUUAAGGGUAGAUGGGGAACUGAGAGGCAAUAGAUUGUUAACUGACACUUGAACUAUUUCCAGUCAGCUAUUCUGUACAUUUUAGCUAACUCAGUUUGUUGAACAUUCGUCCUCAAGCUACCAAGGGGUAUGUGGUGGAGGAACUUUUUUUUCUAGAAGCCUGCAGGCUCUUGGCUCACCUUGUCACCAUUGCUUUCCUUUCUUAUGAUGUAGCCUCAGAAGCCAGAGUCAUCUAACACCUCAGAAGGACAGCAUUCUUGAACCCAUCUAAACUCCACAUUGAACCUGCAGCUUCCUCUAGAAGUCACAAGGUGAAAAAAAAGAACUGGUUAGAAAUUACCCCCAUACAUGAUUUAGAAUCACUUAGGAAGCAUACCUCUGGGCAUGUCUGUGAGGGAGACUAGAUUGAAGUUGGAAGACCCACCUUAAAUGUGAACAGUACCAUUCCAUGGGCUGCAGUCUGGGACUGAAAACAAAGGACAAAGCAAGCUAACCCUAGCAAUCACUUCUCUUUGCUUCCCGAUUGUGUAUGCAGUGUGACUAGUUACUUUAAAGCUCUGCUACCAUGCCUAGACUGUACCUUCAAACUGUAAACCAAAAUAAACAUUCCUUAAGUUCUUUUUGUCAAGUAUUUUGUCACAGUAAUGAGAAAAAUAAACUAAUACACCUAAUGUUCAUGUCUUGGAAAAGUA